UUAAAACAUGGAUUAGAUACCCGUCUAUUCAUGACAUAAAUAAAAGUCGAAUAUUACGAACAUUAGUUUAAAAUUCAAAGAUCUUGGCGGUGUCUUAUAAAACCAGGGGAACCUGUCUCAUAACUCGAUAACCCACGAUUUACACAACCUCUUUUUGAAAAACAGCUUGUGUACUGCCGUUGCAAGCAUACCUUUAAAAGAAUUAGUAUGCUACGAUGAUUAAUUAAAUAAUUAAUCCAAACACAUCAGGUCAAAGUGCAGUCGAUAAAGAGGUGACGAUGGGUUACAACCUAAAUAAAGAUAUGAAUUAAACACAUUAAAAAAUUUAUAAAAGUGGACUUGGCUGUAAUUUAGUUAAUCCAUUAAACAAAUGAAUUUAAAUCUAAGACAUGUACACAUCGCCCGUCAUCACCCUAAGUCUUG
RNAcentral lists this ribosomal RNA (423 nucleotides) under Megascolex sp. 1A PK-2012. Its description in RNAcentral is "partial 12S ribosomal RNA". The record is from RNAcentral. Lineage: Eukaryota; Metazoa; Annelida; Clitellata; Crassiclitellata; Megascolecidae.